Nematostella vectensis (starlet sea anemone) is the source of this 753-nucleotide long non-coding RNA. RefSeq lists it as uncharacterized. The record is from RefSeq and is a predicted model, not a curated record. The transcript is spliced from 2 exons. NCBI's taxonomy places the organism in Eukaryota, Metazoa, Cnidaria, Anthozoa, Actiniaria, Edwardsiidae.
GAAAGGUUAUCAACACGAGGUCACGACCAGUAGAGCUUAUAACAACACAGGCUACUUCUAGUCACGGACUAAAAUUAAACCUUCGCCGACGGGAAGCCAAGAAUACCAAAAUUAAGCCAUCCGUCAUAUCACGCUCCAUACGUUCAUUUGAACACUCCAAGGUCACGGUUCCGUGGAGGGGUUGUUGGGCGAUGAGUUAGUCUCAAGGCUGAUCGUACAAUACAUCAUGCAAUGCGUAGUGCUGCAAAACAACACGCCCUCUACCACGACUGAAGCAUGCACACAGUAACAAGCAAGCAUGUUAAGUCACAUGGCUACGUUCUCUGAUGACAGAGGUCUUUCGUGUUGCGGCCCUAUUGCUACCCUGGUUCUAAAGGCUCCAAGUUUCACUACUCACGCGCCGCGACAAAGAGCCGCCAAGCGGCGACAACGACUGUCUUGUACGAGACAUUAAACAGAGAGAAGGAAAAAAGGAGACUCUGGAACCAGGGUACCAAAUUGCGGAACAAGUGAAAACUUUGGUACACAACCCAGCUGGCCACUAAAACAUUGAUUAGUAACCUCCCCGUUAGAUACCAAAUGGUCCGUUCCUUAUCCUCAUAAAGUUCUCCUGACUUUUGCUUCUCGAUCGUCCAAGCUUGUUUAAUAUAUGCUAUUUAUCUGCUUGUAGUAACAACGCGAUGGAUCCUUAUCUUGUAACAGAUAAAUGCCCAAACAGUUCUCUCCUUUCUUAAUAAAAGUUAACUGCGCUAC